Paramuricea clavata is the source of this 598-nucleotide non-coding RNA. The record is from the annotation of a GenBank genome assembly. NCBI's taxonomy places the organism in Eukaryota, Metazoa, Cnidaria, Anthozoa, Malacalcyonacea, Plexauridae.
UUAAUUAAUAAAUAUAGAUAAAUAACACACAAUGAGUAUUAGUUAUAACUACUUACACGGCGGAUUCAAUCGAGUUUUAUAUGACUAAUAAAUAAUUUGAAAAUCAUCAGAUAACUUAUAUAUAAACUUAUUUAAUUAACUUUGAUAUAUAAACAGUGACUUAUUGAUUAAUCGUCAUUUGUGUCUUAUAUAUACACUUAUAUAUGCACGCAACCGUAACCCUUAAGGCGCGAUUUUUUAGUUCAGUUUUGAAAGUUAAUAAAACAGCCAAUGAGAGGAAAUUUUGAAAGAUAUGUAGACCAAAUAGCUCAAAAUGUUGUAGCGCUUCUAAAUAUUUGGAAAGUUCAAACUAGGAUCAAAGUUAUCGGUCAGUGAAAAUCGAAAAAUCGCGUCGCGUUGUCGAAUCGCGUCCGGUGUGUCUGGACCUUUACAGACCUUUACUGCAUUUGCAAUAAAACGCGCGCCGAAUGUUUUGUUUGCAAGCCCAAAGCAAUCAAACGUUUGCUAAGCAUGAUUAUACAAUUACUUUAUGGUUUCCGUGUUUGGAUGGCCUGAUCCAAACACGCGGGAAUGUUGCGAGAGUUAAGAAAAGCGAGCG